RNAcentral lists this ribosomal RNA (497 nucleotides) under uncultured bacterium. Its description in RNAcentral is "partial 16S ribosomal RNA". It matches the Rfam family "Bacterial small subunit ribosomal RNA", at positions 28 to 507 of the family's 1533-position model. The record is from RNAcentral.
GACGAACGCUGGCGGCGUGCCUAAUACAUGCAAGUUGAGCGCUGAAGGUUGGUACUUGUACCAACUGGAUGAGCAGCGAACGGGUGAGUAACGCGUGGGGAAUCUGCCUUUGAGCGGGGGACAACAUUUGGAAACGAAUGCUAAUACCGCAUAAAAACUUUAAACACAAGUUUUAAGUUUGAAAGAUGCAAUUGCAUCACUCAAAGAUGAUCCCGCGUUGUAUUAGCUAGUUGGUGAGGUAAAGGCUCACCAAGGCGAUGAUACAUAGCCGACCUGAGAGGGUGAUCGGCCACAUUGGGACUGAGACACGGCCCAAACUCCUACGGGAGGCAGCAGUAGGGAAUCUUCGGCAAUGGACGAAAGUCUGACCGAGCAACGCCGCGUGAGUGAAGAAGGUUUUCGGAUCGUAAAACUCUGUUGGUAGAGAAGAACGUUGGUGAGAGUGGAAAGCUCAUCAAGUGACGGUAACUACCCAGAAAGUGACGGCUAACUACGUG